GUAAUUAACGCCCCCCUCGAUUUAGCGAGUUUGGAAAACACGGUCGAAGGUACAUCUCGAGUGUCAACUCCAGGAUGACGCUGUAUUCAGCAGAGCCAAAAUGGAAAACACCUGUGGUGAUCCUGGUGAUGCUUUGUCUGCUAGGAAAACGUCUCAACAUCUGGUUUCAUCUGAAGACUGCAGAUGGUUCCUUGUCCUUUUCUCUCACAAUCCAAUUAUGAUUGAAGAAAAGCAAGGUAGACUUUAAAGGGAAUGUUGGAACUUUCCAAGGCUGCUCCUGGAACUCUCUGCUUCCACUGAGGGCUUUGAUUUUAAUGAUAUCUCAAGGCCUGUCGUCUCCUGUGUUGUUUGGAUGGAGAUGAACACAGUCUUUUGAGAUGACCUCACAGGUUCAGAAUAAGUAGCAGUCCUGUGCGAUGAUUCGACCCAUAGGUCCUGAAGAACGGAAAAGACCUCUAAUGGUUUUUUAUUUAUUGUGUUAAGCUCCCACACUCAAAGACCAACACUAGAAAGAUAACAUUUCCUAUUGUUUAUAUCUGACAGUAAUGUCUUGCAGAUGUGUAUUCCAUUCAGUUGUGUGUUUUAAAACAUUGUGUAAAGUUAGUGAGUGCUGUAUG
Molecule: long non-coding RNA, 617 nt
Filed under: Danio rerio (zebrafish)
Lineage: Eukaryota; Metazoa; Chordata; Actinopteri; Cypriniformes; Danionidae
Description: lncRNA si:ch211-28p3.7 (ENSDARG00000096746.2)
Source: RNAcentral